This 787-nucleotide ribosomal RNA is filed under the name Frankliniella occidentalis (western flower thrips). Its description in RNAcentral is "eukaryotic LSU rRNA". It matches the Rfam family "Eukaryotic large subunit ribosomal RNA", at positions 1 to 607 of the family's 3401-position model. The record is from RNAcentral. Lineage: Eukaryota; Metazoa; Arthropoda; Insecta; Thysanoptera; Thripidae.
GACCUCAGUUCAGGUGAGAUUACCGGCUGAAUUUAAGCAUAUUACUAAGCCGAGGAAAAGAAACUAACAAGGAUUCCCCUAGUAGCAGCGAGCGAACAGGGAAGAGCCCAGCGCUGAAUCCCCCGGGCCUCGCUCGGCGGGAAAUGUAGCGUUUGGGAGGGCCCGUCAACACGGCGACUCGCUCACUGGUUCAAGUCCAACUUGAAUGGGGCCACACAGAGGGUGACAGGCCCGUAGAGCAGGAGCGGUUGUCGUGUGGGUCUCUCCUUAGAGUCGGUUUGCUUGAGAGUGCAGACUUAAGUGGGUGGUAAACUCCAUCUAAGGCUAAAUAUGACCACGAGACCGAUAGCACACAAGUACCGUGAGGGAAAGGUGAAAAGAACUUUGAAGAGAGAGUUCAAGAGUACGUGAAACUGAAGUGGUGUAAACGGACGAGUUCGAAAAGUCCGAAUGGUGAGAUUCAAGCUUACCGUGCCGGUGGCCCUCGGGUUCAGAUGGCGUCGUCAGCUCGGGCUUCGGUUCGGGUCAUACGGCGUCACUCGUCCUGGGGGUAUCUGUCUGGUGCGGUGGGCUGCACUUCUCGCCUAGUAGGACGUCGCGACCCGUUGGGAUGUUCCGUUCACUGGCCCUCGGUGGAGCCCGCGCCGGAGCGUGGCCUUGUGCCGCGUUGCUGUUUGCACGGACCCGGGGUGACCUGAUCGGCGCCCGACGGUAUCAAAGCUUGGGAAGAGGCCGCACAGAGGAUGCGUUCGAUGGCCGUUUCGGCCUACACUCGGACAGGCCUGCA